AUAGUGCCAUGAGGAGGAAGGAUUUAUGUUUAUCAUAAAAUGAUGUUCUGUUGUUCUUUUAUCAUUUAAAGUUACCAUAAUUGUGCACCGUGGAUUGGUCCUCACACUAGAGGUUCGGAUUUUGUACUCAACACAGAGUACAAAAAAUUGCAUUUUUCUUAUAAUGCAGUGAAGGAAGCAGAGUUUGACUGACUGAUGAACUUCUUAAGCUCAAGGUUAUUUACUACUCAAAUCAGAUUCUUCAAAUUCUGUCAGGUUGUGCGUUUUCUGUGCAAGCAAUGUGGGAUAGACCCCAAGGGCUCAGAAAUGGACUUGGUAGGAAGACUACAACAUGAAAUAAAGAACAGAGCCAGCUAUGACAAGGUGUGUUCACAGAUCUGGGGAGCUUCUGGUAAGCUGUGUUCUGUUACAACUCAUACAAACAAUUGGUUUGCAGGUCUUUGUUGAGUAACAUUCUUCUUUCUUUUUUUUCUGUGAUGUGCAGUUCUCUGUAACAGGUGGAUGGGCUAAGGUCACCUGUCCUUGUGCUGUGGUGUACAGUGUAAAAUUUAACAUAAGAGCUGAGAGCCCAAGGGACUUUGCUGAUCUGUUGCUGUCAAUGAAACAUUUUCCAAAUGUUUCAUUGUAUGAUUUUGCCAGAGGGUUUUCAACACGUACCAAUCUACGUGAACCGGGAACAUUUCCUCUCAGUCCUCAUGAGGGUAGGCUGCUUGAACCUACUGAAGAGAACAUCACACCUGCCACUACUGAGAAGAUAAAAGUAAACUUGCCGUUGCUGGUCAACAAGAAGCCUGUACCUGAUGAAAAUGCCCACCCUCUGACUGGAUCAUCUGAGCAUUAUGCUCUUUAUGAUCGAUUUCAUGAGGCUAACUCCAAAGAUGUCCGGGAGGUCUUGCGCAAGUUGGAACUGGUCCCAGAGUUAUGUGGUUGGGUCAACAGCCAAUGUGCCGAACAGCUCUUCCCUGGAAUGAAGAAAAAAAUAUAAUUUUCUAAAUAUGAUGACUCCCUCGUCACACGUCUUUUUGAUGCGAAGCAUUUUGAAUCACUACAACAACUAUAGGAAUUUAAAAACAUUAGAAAACAUGAAGAAGAAUUUGGGCAUUGGACUGGACAUACAAUUGAACAACUACGGUCAGACAGUGUUGGCAGCAGCAGAAGCUCCGGCUAAUGGAGCAGCAGAAACUCCGGCUGAUAGAGCAGCAGCAGAAACUCCAGCUAAUAGAGCAGCAGCAGAAACUGCGGCUGAUAGAGCAGCAGCAAAAGCUCGGGCUGAUGGAGCAGCAGCUGAAACUGCGGCUGAUAGAGCAGCAGCAAAAACUCCGGCUGAUGGAGCAGCAGAAACUCCGGCUGACAGAGCAGCAGAAACUCCCACUGAUGGAGCAGCAGCAGCAAAAGCAGCUCUGCAUAAGCAUUUCAGUAUAUUUGUUGGUCACUUUCUUGUUUGCUACUGAAACAGUUAUAGGCCAAACAUGUCUACAGAAAUAAUGUGACCUUGAUUCAGCAGUCAGACUGAACCACAAAAUCUGUUUCACACAAACACACAAUUUAUCAUUCUCCCUGUCUGUGCAAGUGUAGUGACUGCUUGUAUUAGUAUAUUUAUAGGUUUGUCCUUUCAUCAUGGCUUGCAUUUAUGAUUUAAUAGGAUAGAUUAACCUUCACUACAUUGCAGGCAAUUUGUCUACUUCACAGGUCCUGAUGCCAAAACUUUGCAGGAUUUAUCAGCUUGAUUCAGCUAACCCUACUGGUUUUGGAGACAGAAGCAUUUUGACUAUUUUCAGGUUUAAUGCUGACAAAAAGCAGCUGUUCAGUGUUCUGUUCUGGAAAAAGUGUUCCCUUUUUAUGACUGAGUUCUUAAAGUAAAAUGUUUGUGCUCUUCUCUCUCUUCCUGCAUGUUCUGUCAUAGACAGCUCGGUUGGCUGUUUGACUUCAGCCAGGUGAUAAUUCUUACUUUGUAGUCCAGGGGUCAGCAACCAGUUUUGGCAGGGGGCCAGAUAUUUUCCAAGCCAUUACGUGGCAGGCCACAAAAAAAAAAAAACAGAUUUUAGAAAAUGAAGCAGGUAAACCCAAUAAGAAAGGACAAAAAAAAAAAACAUUAAAUUGAAUAAAAUGAGACAGGUAAACCCGAUAAGAAAGGAC
RNAcentral lists this long non-coding RNA (2136 nucleotides) under Astyanax mexicanus (Mexican tetra). Its description in RNAcentral is "lncRNA (ENSAMXG00005017675.1)". Lineage: Eukaryota; Metazoa; Chordata; Actinopteri; Characiformes; Acestrorhamphidae. The record is from RNAcentral.